This 395-nucleotide ribosomal RNA is filed under the name uncultured bacterium. Its description in RNAcentral is "bacterial SSU rRNA". It matches the Rfam family "Bacterial small subunit ribosomal RNA", at positions 29 to 422 of the family's 1533-position model. The record is from RNAcentral.
AUUGAACGCUGGCGGCGUGCCUAACACAUGCAAGUCGAGCGGCAGCGCGGGAGCAAUCCUGGCGGCGAGCGGCGGACGGGUGAGUAACGCUUGGGAAUCUGCCUGUUAGUGGGGGACGAACCCGGGGAAACGUCGGGCUAAUACCGCAUACGCACUACGGUGGAAAGCCGGGGACCCGCAAGGCCUGGCGCUAACAGAUGAGCCCAAGUCGGAUUAGCUAGUUGGUAGGGUAACGGCCUACCAAGGCGACGAUCCGUAACUGGUCUGAGAGGACGACCAGUCACACCGGAACUGAGACACGGUCCGGACUCCUACGGGAGGCAGCAGUGGGGAAUAUUGGACAAUGGGGGAAACCCUGAUCCAGCGACGCCGCGUGGGUGAAGAAGGCCUGCGGG